This 458-nucleotide ribosomal RNA is filed under the name uncultured bacterium. RNAcentral's name for it is "partial 16S ribosomal RNA". It matches the Rfam family "Bacterial small subunit ribosomal RNA", at positions 338 to 795 of the family's 1533-position model. The record is from RNAcentral.
CCUACGGGGGGCAGCAGUGGGGAAUAUUGCACAAUGGGGGAAACCCUGAUGCAGCGACGCCGCGUGAGUGAAGAAGUAAUUCGUUACGUAAAGCUCUAUCAGCAGGGAAGAAACACUGACCUUACGGUCAGCAGACGGUACCUGAGUAAGAAGCCCCGGCUAACUACGUGCCAGCAGCCGUGGUAAUACGUAGGGGGCAAGCGUUAUCCGGAUUUACUGGGUGGAAAGGGAGCGUAGACGGUGCGCCAAGUCUGGAGGGAAAUGCCGCAGCUUAACUGCGGAACUGCUUUGGAAACUGGCGAACUAGAGUGCGGGAGGGGUAAGCGGAAUUCCUAGUGUAGCGGUGAAAUGCGUAGAUAUUAGGAGGAACACCGGUGGCGAAGGCGGCUUACUGGACCGUAACUGACGUUGAGGCUCGAAAGCGUGGGGAGCAAACAGGAUUAGAUACCCCUGUAGUC